CAAAUUCUUAGUGGCGGACGGGUUAGUAACACGUGAGAAUCCUACCCUUGAGUGGGGAAUAGCCUUUCGAAAGGAAGAUUAAUGCCCCAUAGUCUCUACGGAGUAAAGAUGCCUUCGGGUGUCGCUUAAGGAUGGGCUCGCGGCCUAUCAGCUAGUUGGUGAGGUAAGAGCUCACCAAGGCAACGACGGGUAGCUGGUCUGAGAGGACGAUCAGCAACACUGGAACUGAGACACGGUCCAGACACCUACGGGUGGCAGCAGUCGAGAAUCAUUCACAAUGGACGAAAGUCUGAUGGUGCAACGCCGCGUGGAGGAUGACGGCCCUAGGGUUGUAAACUCCUGUCAUCAGGGAGUAAGACUUAUUCGUUAAUAGCGUGUAAGUUUGAUAGUACCUGAAGAGGAAGGGACGGCUAACUUCGUGCCAGCAGCCGCGGUAAUACGAAGGUCCCAAGCGUUGUUCGGAAUAACUGGGCGUAAAGCGUGUGUAGGCCGCGCGGAAAGUCGGAUGUGAAAGCCCAAGGCUCAACCUUGGAACUGCAUCCGAUACUCCCGUGCUAGAGUAAUGGAGAGGUAAGUGGAAUUCUCGGUGUAGCAGUGAAAUGCGUAGAUAUCGAGAGGAACAUCAAUGGCGAAGGCAACUUACUGGACAUUCACUGACGCUCAGACACGAAGGCUAGGGUAGCGAAAGGGAUUAGAUG
This 698-nucleotide ribosomal RNA is filed under the name uncultured bacterium. RNAcentral's name for it is "bacterial SSU rRNA". It matches the Rfam family "Bacterial small subunit ribosomal RNA", at positions 85 to 784 of the family's 1533-position model. The record is from RNAcentral.